Molecule: non-coding RNA, 89 nt
Organism: Achaetomium macrosporum
Lineage: Eukaryota; Fungi; Ascomycota; Sordariomycetes; Sordariales; Chaetomiaceae
Source: the annotation of a GenBank genome assembly
GCCCGGCUGGCUCAAUGGUAGAGUUCUAGACUUCUAAGUUAAGUUAGAAGUUAAUCUAGGGGUUGUGGGUUCGAGUCCCACGUCGGGUG